CUAAUUGAUCACGGAUUUUGCUUAUUUAUUACUUUAAACAACAAACGGCUUUGAGUUUCACGCUUUUCCUUUUUCUUCUUUUUUUUUUUGGGUUCCUGCAGGGUGUUGCAGCAGAAGCAUCACAGAGAAGGUGAGCAGACGCAGACGAACAAAAGACGACUGGAAAAGGAUGAUGGAUCUGGGAUAUGUACAACCCCCACCCCCGGUGAAACGUGUGACCUGACGUGGGCUUUAGAUAUACCUAAUUUGAAAGGCUUCUGCAGAGGACAGGAUCGGAAGGCUAUGUGGGCUGCUGCCUCCUGAUGGCUCCAUCAGUUAAAUGCCAGAGAUUUACUCCGGAUAGGCGAUUACCCCGGUGUCUCCAAAGCCAUCAAAGUCUCAGGGGCUUCGAGGUGGAGAAACGCGAGAGGAGGCGAACCGGCAGACGGCGGAGCACCAGCACCGCAGAGGGAAGUGACCCGCCUGCUCCAGGUGACACACAGGAAGUACUCCAACUACUUUCUCUGAUUCAAAACACUUAUAUAUUUGUGUUGAUUUUGGAAGAAAAACUCCAAGUUUUUGUAAUAAAAACCCCUCACAGUCCUGGACAUUUUACAGUUUUUAGUCAGGUGUGUGCGUACAGUAUUGUCUGUUUUGAGUUCCUGCAGGUCAAAGUUCUACCCGGUAACAGGAGACGGCAGAUAAACUGUCCUUUGGGGUGA
This 701-nucleotide long non-coding RNA is filed under the name Oryzias javanicus (javanese ricefish). Its description in RNAcentral is "lncRNA (ENSOJAG00000013641.1)". Lineage: Eukaryota; Metazoa; Chordata; Actinopteri; Beloniformes; Adrianichthyidae. The record is from RNAcentral.